GACGAAUGCUGGCUGCGUGCUUAACACAUGCAAGUCGAACGGUGAAGGAGGGCUUGCCCUCCGGAUCAGUGGCGAACGGGUGAGUAACACGUGGGCAACCUGCCCCUCACUCUGGGAUAACGCCGGGAAACCGGCGCUAAUACCGGAUACGACCAGGCGCGACAUCUCGCCUGGUGGAAAGAAUUUCGGUGAGGGAUGGGCCCGCGGCCUAUCAGCUUGUUGGUGGGGUAACGGCCCACCAAGGCGACGACGGGUAGCCGGCCUGAGAGGGCGACCGGCCACACUGGGACUGGGACACGGCCCAGACUCCUACGGGAGGCAGCAGUGGGGAAUAUUGCGCAAUGGGCGAAAGCCUGACGCAGCGACGCAGCGUGAGGGACGAAGGCCUUCGGGUUGUAAACCUCUUUCAGCGGGGACGAAGCGAAAGUGACGGUACCCGCAGAAGAAGCACCGGCUAACUACGUGCCAGCCGCCGCGGUAA
RNAcentral lists this ribosomal RNA (481 nucleotides) under uncultured bacterium. RNAcentral's name for it is "partial 16S ribosomal RNA". It matches the Rfam family "Bacterial small subunit ribosomal RNA", at positions 28 to 523 of the family's 1533-position model. The record is from RNAcentral.